UGUUGAGUUAUUUGGUCGGGUUUUUUUGUCGUUUCAGUUAGGGUUUACCCCUUUUCCUUCUUCUUCACCUCUCUAGAACACAGAUGUCGAUUAGGUCUUCGAAAUCAAUCUUCCAUCUUCUUUCUCAAAGUAAUGCAACGUUACGUGUUAUCGGGUUAUCACCUUAAAACCCUCCAUUACUCUCUCACACAUGAUCUACACUCAAUGCGAUUUCAGGAUCUGCAAGGCGGUGGAGGUUCAUCUAUAAAAAGACUGGCUACUCCUCCUCCACUGUUCAAGUCCGUUUGUUAUGUUUUUGGGAGUCUAGGACUGUCCACCAUGGAAGUGGAUAUGCUCCUACUGGACUCUCAGGUGUCAAGGUUACAGCUGUGGUUCCGAGUGGAGCUUCCACUGGUAUCUACGAGACUCUUGAGCUCAGUGAUGGGGGAUCAGACUACCUUGGGAAGGAUGUCUAUAAGGUGAGAAACUAUAUUUUUAGUGAAAGAAUUGUUAUCCGAUUUUUGUCCUAUUUGUUUUUUUUUUUUGAUGUCAACAUGCUGUUGACAACUUCAUGGUCUAUGAACUGAUGGAACCCGAAAUGAGUGGGGUUAAUGCAAUCAAAAUCAAAAGCUUGGAGCCAAUGGUAUCAUUGAUGCGUGCAAACCUGGGGCCAUUUGUCAAUGGCAUUCGUCUCUACAAAGCGAAGAUAGAAGAGCAACAGAAUUACAAUGAAGAAAAAAAGGAUUAUGCAACUACCCAGCAUUAACACAUGCUGGAAACAAGUGACGCUAUCAUUGCGCGUCCCAAUUAUGAAGAGAGCCAGAUACGGGACAAACUUGAUGCUAAUCAUGCCACCCAAAAAAUGUAGCCUUGGAGAUAUUGACAGCCCAUGCACAGUUUGUUUUGUUACAAACAAAUCACGAAGUUCAUGAAGUUCCUUGAACUGAAGUAACUUCAGCAUGCACUACUCAUCACACACUCACUCAGACCACCUACCGUUUUUAGGUUCGUUUAAACUUUUCCUAGUUUCCAGAACAAUGUUCGCAGCAAUCAUUCCUCUGGUUCUAAGUUUAAUACACUCGCAAUUUCUAAUAUUUAUAAAACUAUCUUUUUAUA
Brassica napus (rape) is the source of this 1095-nucleotide RNA transcript. RefSeq lists it as uncharacterized. Lineage: Eukaryota; Viridiplantae; Streptophyta; Magnoliopsida; Brassicales; Brassicaceae. The record is from RefSeq and is a predicted model, not a curated record. The transcript is spliced from 5 exons.